CCUACGGGUGGCAGCAGUGGGGAAUAUUGGACAAUGGGGGCAACCCUGAUCCAGCCAUGCCGCGUGUGUGAAGAAGGCCCUCGGGUUGUAAAGCACUUUCAGUGAGGAAGAACGCCUGGUGGUUAAUACCCAUCAGGAAAGACAUCACUCACAGAAGAAGCACCGGCUAACUCCGUGCCAGCAGCCGCGGUAAUACGGAGGGUGCGGGCGUUAAUCGGAAUUACUGGGCGUAAAGCGCGCGUAGGUGGCUUGAUAAGCCGGUUGUGAAAGCCCCGGGCUCAACCUGGGAACGGCAUCCGGAACUGUCAAGCUAGAGUGCAGGAGAGGAAGGUAGAAUUCCCGGUGUAGCGGUGAAAUGCGUAGAGAUCGGGAGGAAUACCAGUGGCGAAGGCGGCCUUCUGGACUGACACUGACACUGAGGUGCGAAAGCGUGGGUAGCAAACAGGAUUAGAUACCCGAGUAGUC
Molecule: ribosomal RNA, 465 nt
Filed under: Vreelandella stevensii
Lineage: Bacteria; Pseudomonadati; Pseudomonadota; Gammaproteobacteria; Oceanospirillales; Halomonadaceae
Description: partial 16S ribosomal RNA
Rfam family: Bacterial small subunit ribosomal RNA
Source: RNAcentral